RNAcentral lists this ribosomal RNA (608 nucleotides) under Trichoderma koningiopsis. Its description in RNAcentral is "eukaryotic LSU rRNA". The stretch from base 219 to 372 matches the Rfam family "5.8S ribosomal RNA". The record is from RNAcentral. Lineage: Eukaryota; Fungi; Ascomycota; Sordariomycetes; Hypocreales; Hypocreaceae.
AAGGAUCUCGUUGGUGACCAGCGGAGGGUCAUUACCGAGUUUACAACUCCCAAACCCAAUGUGAACCAUACCAAACUGUUGCCUCGGCGGGGUCACGCCCCGGGUGCGUCGCAGCCCCGGAACCAGGCGCCCGCCGGAGGGACCAACCAAACUCUUUCUGUAGUCCCCUCGCGGACGUUAUUUCUUACAGCUCUGAGCAAAAAUUCAAAAUGAAUCAAAACUUUCAACAACGGAUCUCUUGGUUCUGGCAUCGAUGAAGAACGCAGCGAAAUGCGAUAAGUAAUGUGAAUUGCAGAAUUCAGUGAAUCAUCGAAUCUUUGAACGCACAUUGCGCCCGCCAGUAUUCUGGCGGGCAUGCCUGUCCGAGCGUCAUUUCAACCCUCGAACCCCUCCGGGGGGUCGGCGUUGGGGAUCGGGAACCCCUAAGACGGGAUCCCGGCCCCGAAAUACAGUGGCGGUCUCGCCGCAGCCUCUCCUGCGCAGUAGUUUGCACAACUCGCACCGGGAGCGCGGCGCGUCCACGUCCGUAAAACACCCAACUUCUGAAAUGUUGACCUCGGAUCAGGUAGGAAUACCCGCUGAACUUAAGCAUAUCAAUAAGCGGAGGA